Molecule: ribosomal RNA, 358 nt
Filed under: uncultured Archaeospora
Lineage: Eukaryota; Fungi; Glomeromycota; Glomeromycetes; Archaeosporales; Archaeosporaceae
Description: partial 28S ribosomal RNA
Source: RNAcentral
GAGAGUAAAACAGUACGUGAAAUUGUUGAAAGGGAAACGAUUGAAGUCAGUCAUGCCGGCGUUGGAUUCAGCUUGCUUCGCGGAGCGGGCGCAUUUCCUCGCAUGGCAGGUCAGCGUCAGUUUUGCGCGGCGUGAAAAGGCUCGGGUAAGGUAGCUCUCUUCGGGGAGUGUUAUAGACCUGGGCAGAUGCGCUGCGCGGGACUGAGGAUUGCAGCGGACAUCCCUUCGGGGGCGCGGCGACCGAACCCUGCUCGGCCACCCGAGUUCGAUAGCGUGCUAACGGACGCGGGAGCGGCAGUGCACCGGAACAGGCAAGCCAGCGGUUCGCUUAGGAUGCUGACGUAAUGGCUUUAAACGA